RNAcentral lists this ribosomal RNA (239 nucleotides) under uncultured Lactobacillus sp. RNAcentral's name for it is "partial 16S ribosomal RNA". It matches the Rfam family "Bacterial small subunit ribosomal RNA", at positions 123 to 354 of the family's 1533-position model. Lineage: Bacteria; Bacillati; Bacillota; Bacilli; Lactobacillales; Lactobacillaceae. The record is from RNAcentral.
AACCUGCCCAAGAGAUCGGGAUAACACCUGGAAACAGAUGCUAAUACCGGAUAACAACAGAUGAUGCCUAUCAACUGUUUAAAAGAUGGUUCUGCUAUCACUCUUGGAUGGACCUGCGGUGCAUUAGCUAGUCGGUAGGGUAACGGCCUACCAAGGCGAUGAUGCAUAGCCGAGUUGAGAGACUGAUCGGCCACAUUGGGACUGAGACACGGCCCAAACUCCUACGGGAGGCAGCAGGG